AGGCAUUCACCAUGGCGGUGAGGCGGCCGUCUCCUCAGGAAAAACAGGAAACAGCUGACAUGGAACCCAAAUAAUGCUGCCUUCAGGAAACACAUCAUCAUUGUUGCAUAUGCACAAAGACAGAGAGAGAUGCCCACUGACUGACGCCUUUCUCAGCACUGGUUAUGUUAUCUGGACCCUCUGGAAAGAUCUCAAGAGCCCUUUCUAUCAAGACAGUAGCCGCAGAAUAAAACAAUGUGAUUUAGCAUGUGAAGGAACCGGUGGAGGAGAUUGAGUUUUAGGUAUAGUCGAGAAGAACAAAAGAGAGAGAGAG
This is a long non-coding RNA of Centropristis striata (black sea bass), 313 nucleotides long. RefSeq lists it as uncharacterized. The transcript is spliced from 3 exons. Lineage: Eukaryota; Metazoa; Chordata; Actinopteri; Perciformes; Serranidae. The record is from RefSeq and is a predicted model, not a curated record.